This 247-nucleotide unclassified non-coding RNA is filed under the name Ardhachandra sp. RNAcentral describes it as "partial contains 5.8S ribosomal RNA, internal transcribed spacer 2, and large subunit ribosomal RNA". The stretch from base 1 to 52 matches the Rfam family "5.8S ribosomal RNA", at positions 103 to 154 of the family's 154-position model. RNAcentral also lists the same sequence under 1 other name. Lineage: Eukaryota; Fungi; Ascomycota; Eurotiomycetes; Chaetothyriales; Herpotrichiellaceae. The record is from RNAcentral.
AACGCACAUUGCGCCCCCUGGUAUUCCGGGGGGCAUGCCUGUUCGAGCGUCAUUACAACCCUCAAGCUCUGCUUGGUGUUGGGCUCGCCUUCGUCACGAAGGCCUGCCUCAAAAUCAGUGGCGGCCGCCGUCCGACCUUCAGCGCAGUAAUGCUCGUCGCUGGUAGGGAAGGACAGCAGGUGCCGUCAGCACAACCCCCACACACAAGGUUGACCUCGGAUCAGGUAGGGAUACCCGCUGAACUUAA